CAAUGAGUUGCUUAACAUUAGAAUGAAGAUGGAGGAGGAAGAUAAGUUGUUACUACUGCUAUGCUCGCUGCCCCCUUCCUAUGAUCUGUCGUUGGUGGUGACGCUGCUCUAUGGCAAGGAGACCUUGGAGAUGAAGACAUAGUCUCGAUGUUGCGGUCCAAUGAACAGUGAGAGAAGUUGACCAAGGAAGGUGCUCCUCAGGAGGGCUUGGCCAUGGGGG
This 220-nucleotide long non-coding RNA is filed under the name Elaeis guineensis (African oil palm). Its description in RNAcentral is "long non-coding RNA (EGUI_LNC046480)". Lineage: Eukaryota; Viridiplantae; Streptophyta; Magnoliopsida; Arecales; Arecaceae. The record is from RNAcentral.